This 248-nucleotide ribosomal RNA is filed under the name Orpinomyces sp. OUS1. RNAcentral's name for it is "partial 18S ribosomal RNA". It matches the Rfam family "Eukaryotic small subunit ribosomal RNA", at positions 1 to 249 of the family's 1831-position model. The record is from RNAcentral. Lineage: Eukaryota; Fungi; Neocallimastigomycota; Neocallimastigomycetes; Neocallimastigales; Neocallimastigaceae.
UACCUGGUUGAUCCUGCCAGUAGUCAUAUGCUUGUCUCAAAGAUUAAGCCAUGCAUGUCUAAGUAUAAACAAUUCUAUACUGUGAACUGCGAAUGGCUCAUUAAAUCAGUUAUAGUUUAUUUGAUAGUACCAUUACUACUUGGAUAACCGUGGUAAUUCUAGAGCUAAUACAUGCGUAAAAACCCGACUUCUGGAAGGGUUGUAUUUAUUAGAUAAAAAACCAACCUGGGCAACCAGUUUUUUGGUGA